Hyla sarda is the source of this 720-nucleotide long non-coding RNA. RefSeq lists it as uncharacterized. NCBI's taxonomy places the organism in Eukaryota, Metazoa, Chordata, Amphibia, Anura, Hylidae. The transcript has 3 exons. The record is from RefSeq and is a predicted model, not a curated record.
UGCUUUAGAUUGUAUUUAAACCUGCUCCAGCAUGGUCUGACAUUUCAGCGUCCUUUCAGCCGAUGCGACUUGUCGCUGAAAAGUCGCUUUUGAUAAAUUCAGCACCAAUGCAUUUUUCUGUCUAAAAUAGACUAGAAUGCAUCAUGUUCUAAAAAUCCUCUAAAGCAAAAGUCGCAGAAAAGUCGCACACAUUUAGACUGCAACUUUCUGUGCGGCAAAUUUAGACAGGAAAAAACUGUCUAAAUCCUUUGAUAAAUCUCUCCCAUUGAUCCUGAAAGUGUUAUUUAUUUUUUUGCACCCUUGGUCCCAGGCUGCUGUAUAUGUGAUAGGGGCUUAAAUGCACAGCAAAAAGGCAAGAACAAUGAAGAAAAAUGAAGCAAAUGAACGUCUUCUACUGUUGUCAGUCUGGAAGUGAUCACUCUGUAUAUGCCGCUACUGGGGACCAAUAGCUGUAGGUUCAGAAAGGUUUUAAGACCAUUGGGGCUAUCAUCCAAGACCAUUGGAAGAUCCUCCAACAUGACCCAAUUUUAAGAAAAAUCAUUCCAGAAAAACCUGGAUUCGCGUAUAGGAGAGCACCGACCAUUAAGAACAACAUCGCACCCAGCAAACUAAAAAAGAGGAAAAAGAGAGGGUAACAAGAAUCCCGAAUUAAAUAGAGGUUGCUUCAAAUGUAAGAACAAAUCAUGCAAAUUAUGUGCAAAUAUGAAAAAUAAAAUAACA